Molecule: long non-coding RNA, 2754 nt
Organism: Cyprinus carpio (common carp)
Lineage: Eukaryota; Metazoa; Chordata; Actinopteri; Cypriniformes; Cyprinidae
Source: Ensembl
GGUGGAUUGUUUUCACCGACAAUGUUUUCUGGAAGUAUUCCUGAGCCCAUGUUGUGAUUUCCAUUACAGUAGUAUUCCUGUAUGUGAUGCAGUGCCGUCUAAGGGCCCGAAGAUCACGGGCAUCCAGUAUGGUUUUCCGGCCUUGACCCUUACGCACAGAGAUUGUUCCAGAUUCUCUGAAUCUUUGGAUGAUAUUAUGCACUGUAGAUGAUGAUAACUUCAAACUCUUUGCAAUUUUUCUCUGAGAAACUUCUUUCUGAUAUUGCUCCACUAUUUUUCGCCGCAGCAUUGGGGGAAUUGGUGAUCCUCUGCCCAUCUUGAUUUCUGAGAGACACUGCCACUCUGAGAGGCUCUUUUUAUACCCAAUCAUGUUGCCAAUUGACCUAAUAAGUUGCAAAUUGGUCCUCCAGCUGUUCCUUAUAUGUACAUUUAACUUUUCUGGCCUCUUAUUGCUACCUGUCCCAACUUUUUUGGAAUGUGUAGCUCUCAUGAAAUCCAAAAUGAGCCAAUAUUUGGCAUGACAUUUCAAAAUGUCUCACUUUCAACAUUUGAUAUGUUAUCUAUAUUCUAUUGUGAAUAAAAUAUAAGUUUAUGAGAUUUGUAAAUUAUUCCAUUCCUUUUUUACUCACAAUUUGUACAGUGUCCCAACAUUUUUGGAAUCGGGUUUGUACAAUAUGAUGAUAUUAGUUUGUAACACAGUACAGUGAAUAUUUGUAUGGCAUAACAAGAGGGCUAGGUUUCACUUUCAUUUCCACUUACAUGAUGUCACAGCUUUCAGACAGCCUUUCAGCUUCAAGACCAAGGAAUCAGUGAGGUAUGAGGAAAGUACAGUAUAGUAAAAUGUACUGUUCCUAAAAUAUUUGUAUGGCACACCCAAGGGCUAGGCUUGCCUUCAGUUUUCUCUUAAAUGCUGUCAUAGCCUUAACGCCUUAAACAGCCAGUUGGUAAGCUGCCAACCCAAUGGCUGGAAUGUUUAUUCAUUAUCUUCCAGUAAUAAACCUGCUUUUCCUGCAAGCUCGUUAUUUACUCAUAUAUAUUUUGUGUGACAGGGAAGCUUUUUAUUUGUGUCAGUCAAGGAUGGAGUUUAAGCACACGAAAAAGACAAGCUUUUCGGUAAGGAGGAAAACAAAAAAUGGGAAAGAAAAGAAACUUUCAAUGAAAAAAAUAGAGCAGACAGAUGUGAACCUUCCACCAGAGGAACAGGCAUCUGGAGUUCCUGAUCUCAUUGCUCUAGAUGCUGAAGCACUUAACAAGAGAGUGCUUCAUGCUCUCAAAACAAUUUUGAGUGAUGAAUCAACCUCUGAGGACUUUGAUGCUGCAGUUGAGGUGCUGAAAACAUUGAGCAAACUGAAUAACAACUAUUCUCAAGACGGGCUUUUUGAGUACCUUCAAGAAAUAAAUCAGUUUGUGGAGAACCACUUUCCCACGCUGCCAGCAGAGGGACCACGGGGAUCUCAGUUGGAGCCGAUACAGGACUUUCAGAGAACACAGAGCAUGAUAAAUGAUAAGGUGCUUCGAUUAACACCUGCACUGAAAGAUGCUGGGCUGCUAGAUCAUCUGAUGGACAGUUACAGCCGUCACCUCUUUACCAACCUGGACCUGCUGCUAAACAGAGAUCUGUCUGUGAAAGAGAUCUUCUGCCUUCUGCUGUGGGGAAAAGAUGUUUUCUUCAGUUCAGACUCACAGCAUUUCUUCAGAGUGCACGACCCUCUGCUGUUGACAAAUUGGUUUGAGAGAGCAACGGAGAAACUGCUGCCAAAACUAAAGAAUGACAUCUCCACGACUCUACAGAACAUCCUGGACUAUGAUGCGCAAAAUAGACCAAAUGGAGACUCAAUGGAUGAAGAAACGUUCAUCAGAGUUCACUUAGAUGUCACUAAAUGUCUGAAUGCUGUUAUACAGAGUUCUAAGGAAUUUAGUCACACGCUGAUGUGUGCGGCACAAACACUCUGUCUUAAAGAGCUUCAUCAUUUUGUUCAGGAGUAUGUGCAUGCAGAGAAAAAACGCCUGGAAAAACAACAACCCCUGAAGAAAAAUCCUGUGCAUCUGUUUCGGCUCAUCAGCACCUGUAGACAACUCAGAUUUUUUGCUCCUCAACUCAACAAUCCAGAUAUAAACAACAGUGACGACCUCUCAAAAAUUAUCUGCAUGUUAGAGGAGAUGGAGGAUCACGCUCUGUCUAUUGUACAGAAGAUGAUGAAAGACGUUGCACAGGCCUUAUUAAGACAUUAUUUUAAAAAAGGAGGUGAACAAAUUCAAGGGCUGACAGAGGCAAUCCAAAAGCAAUGUGCAUCUCUUCCUCAGACUGAUGUAGGAAAAGAGAUUCAGGAGAUCUUUGUGGAUGUAUCCUAUGACUGCGUUUCACGCGUGUAUCUGGAUUGCCUGAUGAAGAGCAAGUUCAGAAGGCUAGAGAGGAGAUGGGGAAAUGUUGGAGAAAGGAUAAACGCGGACAUUCUCAGUUUACACAACACUUUCACUGUACUGAAUGGCAGUGAUGCCCAGAGGAACCAUUUCCUUCAGAGACUCAGUGAAGUUUUGCUUCACAGUGAUGUAGAAGCACUGAAGAUUACCUGUUUUGUUUUGUUCAGAGAUUUCCCUCAGGAGAGUAAGCAGUAUGUACCUGGUCUGCUGCGCUGGAAGGGGGUUUUAUCAGAGCGACAGGUGAGGGAAGUGCUGGAUGUGACCCAGGACCUCGAUCCGAAGCCUAGACGCGUCACCUGUCAGCCUCUGAAGGGACUUUUUUGUUGUCUUUGA